AAAAGCUUGAUGUUGCUGUUCUUCAAUACCAAAAUCAGAAGCUCAUACAGAAGUUAGAGGUUCAGAAGGUAGAGUACAAAUCUCUUCAGAAUAAAUAUGCUCAGUUAAAGGAGAAACAAGAACCAUAUGAUAUGACAGUGGCUGUAGUUAAAAACUGUUGGGAUGAGCUUGUCAAUGGAUUGGAAACAACUUCUGUCCGUAUGAGGAGGUGAAGG
RNAcentral lists this unclassified non-coding RNA (215 nucleotides) under Hevea brasiliensis (rubber tree). Lineage: Eukaryota; Viridiplantae; Streptophyta; Magnoliopsida; Malpighiales; Euphorbiaceae. The record is from RNAcentral.